CAGAGCUCGUACCCCCUGGGUAGAUCUCCCACCCGCUGCUAUUACUACGAUGGUUGCUUUGGCGGGCCGCCGGGCCCCGCUCGGCCGCCGGCGCUGCUGGCGCGCGCCCGCCAGAGGCCCCUCCAGACUCUGAAUGUUUAGCGUCGUCUGAGUACUAUACAAUAGUUA
RNAcentral lists this unclassified non-coding RNA (168 nucleotides) under uncultured Leotiomycetes. RNAcentral's name for it is "sequence contains ITS1". The record is from RNAcentral. Lineage: Eukaryota; Fungi; Ascomycota; Leotiomycetes.